UCCUCCAAACUCAUUUGUUCAGCUUAUGGGCCUCUAAUACACAAAGUGCUUGCAGUUACAAGAUUGAUUUCUAGUCUUGUAUUUAAAACUUGCCAGGAAAAGAACUAGUCAGCAUCUCCAAGGAAGUAUUCUCUUUUGGGGUCAAAAUCUUGUGUGCUGCUUCAUAGUCUCCCUUGCCUGCUUUGGCUAUUAAGGUUGUACUUUUAUACAGGGAGAGGUGAACUGCUUUGCUUUUGCACAUCAAUAGCAGAUGUCAGGGCUCUGACAGCUGAUUUCCCACUGGAAGAAAAAUUUGUGACACAGACCAUAGGAAUCAUCUUUCUUAGCAGACUUCUCUAUUAAAUACAUGAGACUUUGAACAAAUGUACAGACUGAUGAUAUUGCAGGAAAUAACCCUUCUCCAGAAAUUUCAAUCUGGAAGUCAGUGUUUUGCUUUCAGAAAACAACUUUAUCUUUGAAGUUCCUACCAACUAAAGAUGCAGUGUUACAGGGCUACUAACACCUCAUUUCUCAAAGUCUGUGUUCUGCUUCUGUACAGAGGAAAGCUUCAAGUAAUUGAAGAGACUUGUGUGCAAGGAGGCAUUAUAAUCAUAUGAGGGUGGGUCUCAGAAAUGGACAGUAAUGAACACUGUUUUGGAGCAUGGGCUUCCUGAACUGUCUUGUAUGUAUUGUGCUGUAGAUAUUCCCUUUGUGAAAGUACUGUUUGAAUGAUGCAGGAGUGACUUCCUUAGUCUCCCUUCUGCCCAGACCUACCUCAUCUUUGAAGAUGUGUGCUGGAAUUUCUUGUUUCAAGUGUUUUUUGGGGUGGGUUUAUUUUUGGGUUGUUUUUUUGGUUUUUUGUUUUCUUUUUUUUUAAAGGAAAGGGAAUGAAAGUUUUUUGAGGUAAGAAUUUGUGUCUCAUUCUCUUCUGAAUUCUCUCUCAGGGAGAACAUGGCGGGAGGAGGAAGAAGCUCAGCUCAGUGGAUGCAGACUGGUGUGGGAGGCUUCCUGUUACUGACGUGUAAAGUGGGCAAAAUUAGAUUUGUGGCUUUUAUUGUGGGUGUCUAGUUUGUUUCACUUUCCAGUUCACAAGAGUUGAGGAAUGUAUGAUAAGAACCUAACUUUCCUUCCCUCAAGAAAACAGCAACUCUACAUUGAAACUUAACAAGAUAAAAAGGAAAACAGAAGAUAAUAAAUACAAGCUAAAAUGGCAAUCUAACUGUUGUGGGAUUCUACAUGAAAAACACUAUGGACAAAUUAUAUGGACGUGUGAGCAAAGCCUGAUGUCUUCAUUACUGUGAGUGAGACUUCCCACUGCUCUGAUAUGGCAGCUCUGUCCUUGGGUGUCCUGGAGAUUCCUUUGAGCAAGGCAGUGGUGUUGACU
Motacilla alba alba is the source of this 1363-nucleotide long non-coding RNA. RefSeq lists it as uncharacterized. The transcript is spliced from 3 exons. Lineage: Eukaryota; Metazoa; Chordata; Aves; Passeriformes; Motacillidae. The record is from RefSeq and is a predicted model, not a curated record.